This 124-nucleotide transfer RNA is filed under the name Planctomycetota bacterium. RNAcentral describes it as "Planctomycetes bacterium (activated sludge metagenome) tRNA-OTHER". The record is from RNAcentral. Lineage: Bacteria; Pseudomonadati; Planctomycetota.
GCUGAGAUAGUGUAAGGGUAGCACGAUAAACGCCGUCUUCUACUUUUUACCCAAGCCGGGUCGAUUUGAGGAUGGUUAUCUGAAUUGGAAUCAGUCAGUGGUGGUUCGAGUCCACCUCUCAGCA